CCUACGGGGGUCUGCAGUGAGGAAUAUUGGUCAAUGGGCGCGAGCCUGAACUAGCCAAGUAGCGUGAAGGAUGACUGCCCUACGGGUUGUAAACUUCUUUUAUAAAGGAAUAAAGUGAGGCACGUGUGCCUUUUUGUAUGUACUUUAUGAAUAAGGAUCGGCUAACUCCGUGCCAGCAGCCCCGGUAAUACGGAGGAUCCGAGCGUUAUCCGGAUUUCUUGGGUUUAAAGGGAGCGUAGAGGGGUUGUUAAGUCAGUUGGGAAAGUGUGCGGCUCAACCGUAAAAUGGCAAUUGAUACUGGCAGUCUUGAGUACAGUUGAGGUAGGCGGAAUUCGUGGUGUAGCGGGGAAAUGCUUAGAUAGCACGAAGAACUCCGAUUGCGAAGGCAGCUUACUAAACUGCCACUGACAUUGAUGCUCGAAAGUGUGGGUAUCAAACAGGAUUAGAUACCCCGGUAGUC
Molecule: ribosomal RNA, 460 nt
Filed under: uncultured bacterium
Lineage: Bacteria
Description: partial 16S ribosomal RNA
Rfam family: Bacterial small subunit ribosomal RNA
Source: RNAcentral